GAACUUACCGGUGAUAAAAAAAACCUCUAUCACGAAUCAGGUCAUUGGAGCGCAAUUCGUUGCUUCACAAUCUUCUCCUACGCAUCACACAUUCACAAAAAUUAGAUCCCCUAACUACACACUAUCACACCAAAACAAAAGGUAUAACUCCAACCGACCUUACAGAAAUUGAAAGCAACAAAACAACCAAAACUCCCCAUACCCAAAAUGAACAAAAGAAAUCGGAAAUCCAAGACGCAAAGAUGUGACGACAAAUUAUGAAUAGAAUAGAAGAAGAAAGCAAAAAAAGAAAAGAAAAGAAAAUGUAGAGAAAGGGAAGAGAAGAACGUCAGAAACCAGAGACUUUUAGGAAAAAGAAAAAUAAAAUAAAAAUUAAAUUAAAUUAAAAUAAAUUAUCCUAACUUCCCACUAAUACCUAACUCCUCCAGAAUCCUACCCACUAACCACAUCCAACUACCUCAGAAGUCUACUUCCACCGAACCACUACC
RNAcentral lists this long non-coding RNA (488 nucleotides) under Gossypium raimondii (Peruvian cotton). RNAcentral describes it as "long non-coding RNA (GRAI_LNC008052)". Lineage: Eukaryota; Viridiplantae; Streptophyta; Magnoliopsida; Malvales; Malvaceae. The record is from RNAcentral.